CUUGGCCUCCCAAAGUGCUGGGAUUACAGGCGUGAGCCACUGCGCCUGGCCUAGAUCCAGGAGAAUUUGUUAAGUGUACUAAGAGAGGAUUCAAGUCAUCAGUAUCCACUCUGCUACUUUUAAUUAAGGUGAAAUGGAAAAGGUACAGAUUUUGGAUUCAGAGUCAGGCUCUAGUUCUGGUUCUGACACUUACUAGCUGUGCCACCUUGAAUUACUCUUUCUACCUCAGUUUCCUCCAUCUACAGAAAGGUAAUAAGAAUGCUUACACUCUAGGAUGUGAGGAAUAAAGGUAUAUCAUAGGCACUGGAUACAUGAUAGUUGUAAUUAUUCGUUUCUUUUCAGAGUCACCAAAAAUUCCAUAGAAUCAUGGAAGUGGACUCGAAAACCCUGAUGAAGUCUCCUGGAGUUUCUGGCCUGCUGUUGUCUGUGCUGACUGUCCACAUGUGCCGGUUUCGUAGCGCUGUAAAUCUUGACUUUCGCCUCACUAUCACUUGGGGAUUGCCCGGUCUCUCUUUGUGGUAUGUUGUUUCCUAUAUUCCCUGUCUUUCUCUUUCUUGGUUUACUUUGUUUUGGUGGAGUGCAAUUUCUAGUACUUUCCUGAGAAAUUUGUAGCAUAACUAAACAUGUCUUUAUUUUCUACCCUCACACUUGUUUGAUAUUUUGCCAGAGUACAAAAUUCUAGUUUGGAAAUAAUUUUCUCUAUUGUCUUCUGACUCCCAGGGCUCCUGUUGCCAAAUCCUAAACCAUUUUAAUUCUUAAGUCUUUGAUUUUUUUCUCCUCUCUGGAAACUUCCAGAAUUCUUUGCUUUGUUCUAAGGUUCUAAAAUUUCAUAAUGAUAUGUUUAGAUGUACCUCUAAUUCCACUCAUUGUAUUCAGCACUUGACUUUUUUUCACAUCUCUGAUAAUCUGCUCAUAUUUGAAUUAGGAGACCAAAUAGAUGACUGGAAAUCGGUACCACUGAGAGUGCUUUCAGAGAUCUCUGCCAGUGCCUGCUCGUCUUAAAAAGCUGCCAGGAGACACAGUGGUAGAGUGGAAACAACAGAAACUGCUGCCAGCAGAUCUGGGGCAUAACUGUACAUCUAUUCCUUACUGGCUAAGUGAGCCUGUAUAGAGGUUAUUUAACUUCCUUGAGACUGAGUUUGCUUAACUGUAAAAAUCAAGAUAAUAAUGCCCAUCCCAAAAGUGUGCUUGUGAGCAUUAUCUCAGAGAGUGGUCUCCACCAGGGGUGAUUUUACCCACAAGGGAACAUUUGGCAGUGUCUGGGGACAUUUUUGGCUGUCCCAUCUAGGAGGGGUGCUGCUGGCACCUAAUGGGUGGAAUGCAGAGAUACUGCUAAAUAUUCUACAAUGCACAAGACAUACCCUUACAACAAAGGAUUAUCCAGCCAAAAAUGUCAAUAGUGCCAGAGUUGAGAAAUUCAGAUAUAAGAUGAUACAAAAGUCCUUAGCAUAAUCUCUGGCACACAGUAGAUACUUACUAUGAUAGUUUCAUAUCCCAUCCUCCUUUAACUCUUUAAAGUUACUCAAUCAGCAAAUUAUCACUAAGAGAGUGCAUAUUUAUUCAUUCACUCAACAAAUAUUUACUGAGAAUGUAUACCAAUUACUGUCUAAGUGCCUGGCUCUGCUCCAUGAAAUGUACAGAGUAAAGUGAGAGACAGAUAGAAAUAACGUAGACUAUUACACCAGAUUUUGUAUGAGAAAACAAGAAUUAGAUUUCUUUAGGGGAAGUAAGCCUCAAAUGUUAGUAUUGAUGUAAAGGCUUAAAUAUUUGGAGAUAGGUAUGAGGAUGCUGCUGGGAGGAUGAAAACAUAAAGUGUGUAAAGAUGCAUUCUAAACUUGCAGGACCAAUAAUAUAUGCAUGGUAUUAUCAUGUCUCAAAGUACUCCCUUGUUUCCUCAGCAGCUAAUGCAAGAGAUACACCAAGCUGAGCAACAAGAAAAGAUCUACUGAAAGUCUCCUUGGCUUUACCAAGAAAGUUGCCGUGGACCCUUAGGUCACAUAGCCUGACCAUGCUCAGAUGAACCAAUGGUGCAACCACAGGAGGAACCUAAGUGCUCAGCUGAGAAGCAGGGACUGAAUCAAGCAGCAGACACGAUGAUAAAGUUUGGAUGUUUGUCCCCUCAAAAUCUCAUGUUAAAAUAUGACCCCAAUGUUGAGAGUGGGGUCUAAUGAGGGAGUCCUCCCAAGAAUGGCUUAGUGCCCUCCAAGAGGAAAUGGCUGGUAAUAAGUUUACACGAGAUUCGGUUGUUAAAAAGAGCCUAGCACCCCCUCCCUUCUCCCCUGCUCCCUCUCUUGCCAUGUGACACACCUG
RNAcentral lists this long non-coding RNA (2310 nucleotides) under Homo sapiens (human). RNAcentral's name for it is "HSALNT0341865". Lineage: Eukaryota; Metazoa; Chordata; Mammalia; Primates; Hominidae. The record is from RNAcentral.